GGCAGACACAGCAGGGGAAACAAUUAGUGAGAUUUUACCCCUGCAAGCUGACUUGUUUUCUUCCCUUUUUCGUCCUAGAAAAGCAAAGAAAGAGAGACGGAUCAAAAAAUGGGAAGGAGCAUCACUGAAACAAGGCUGGGGUCUGGUGGGAGAGAGCUCGGAUGGUAUCAAACGCCACUCAAAGGGAGUCGGUAUGCAGUGUGACCGAGAGGGUGUCAUGGUGCGAGAGAGACCUUACCGGAUCCCAGAAAGUUGACAAAGUGGCAUUAGCAAAGAGAUGGCUGAAACACCAUCCGGAGCUGUCGCCAGAGGUCAGCACAAACCCGGACUACACUGGACUUUGUUUCACUAAUAACUGUAUUUACACCACAAGCACUUUAGCACUCACUGUGGACUUGAGUUUGUGUUUUUUGUUUUGUGUGCGUGUUUAGGAACGAGACUAUUAUUACGGGACCAACCUGGGGAUUCACAACAGAGCAAUACACGCUGCUGUAUUGCCUGUUCUCAUUGUUAUUGUUUACUGCCAUGUUGU
This is a long non-coding RNA of Acipenser ruthenus (sterlet), 532 nucleotides long. RefSeq lists it as uncharacterized. The record is from RefSeq and is a predicted model, not a curated record. NCBI's taxonomy places the organism in Eukaryota, Metazoa, Chordata, Actinopteri, Acipenseriformes, Acipenseridae. The transcript has 3 exons.